RNAcentral lists this transfer RNA (76 nucleotides) under Culicoidibacter larvae. RNAcentral describes it as "Firmicutes bacterium CS-1 tRNA-Lys". It matches the Rfam family "tRNA". From Rfam's summary of the family: Transfer RNA (tRNA) molecules are approximately 80 nucleotides in length. Their secondary structure includes four short double-helical elements and three loops (D, anti-codon, and T loops). Lineage: Bacteria; Bacillati; Bacillota; Culicoidibacteria; Culicoidibacterales; Culicoidibacteraceae. The record is from RNAcentral.
GUCCCGUUAGCUCAGUUGGUAGAGCAUCUGACUUUUAAUCAGAGGGUCAAUGGUUCGAGUCCAUUACGGGACACCA